AGAAACUUAGGAUUACGAAAACCGAAGGCCUUCAAAGCCUUAAACAAGAGUUAGACCCUCUUAGUUUCUG
This 70-nucleotide transfer RNA is filed under the name Alaudala cheleensis (Asian short-toed lark). RNAcentral describes it as "tRNA-Trp". It matches the Rfam family "tRNA". From Rfam's summary of the family: Transfer RNA (tRNA) molecules are approximately 80 nucleotides in length. The record is from RNAcentral. Lineage: Eukaryota; Metazoa; Chordata; Aves; Passeriformes; Alaudidae.